CCCCUUUCAGCUGAUCUUCCUCAGAUCCGUGUGUGUGUGUGUGUGUGUGUGUGUGUGUGUGUGUGUGUGUGUGUGUGUGUGUGUGUGUGUGUGUGUUUGUGUGUGUGUGAGGGGAUGUAAGAGCCUUAAGGGAAAAUGUAAGUGUGCUACAGUAAUGAGACUAUAAGACUAAGGGUGGAUGCAUUACUCUCUCUUUCUCUCUCUCUCUCUCUCUCUCUCUCUCUCUCUCUCUCCCUCUCUCUCUCUCUCUCUCUCUCUCUCCCUCUCUCUCUCGCACUCUCUAUGAGUGCGUGUUCAUAUGUGCGCGUGCACAUGUGAACUGUAACAUAAUCAGUGAACAGCUGGAUGUGUCCUGACUGUAGCCAUCUUAAGCUCUUUCCAUAACCAAUUCAUCUCUGGCAGCUCUGCCCCACCCUCAGCCAGCUCUAUAACCUGAGAACCUCUUAUAGUACCGAUGCACGCCAGCCAAGUGAAGUUCUAUUACCUGACUAUGAGAACCUCUUACAGUACUGAUGCACGCCAGCCAAGUGAAGUUCUAUUACCUGACUAUGAGAACCUCUUACAGUACUGAUGCACGCCAGCCACGUGAAGUUCUAUUACCUGACUAUAAGAACCUCUUACAGUACUGAUGAACGCCAGCCAAGUGAAGUUCUGUGUUCCAUUCAUUUCUGUUGGAGGCAGGUGAUCAUCAGGCAGAUAAAUUAAUUGGGUAAAGCGAGCAAAAUAUUUAGGGAAAGUUUAAACCUAUGCAAAUAAGGAGCAAAUUUCGCCACCACCGGCCAAUCAGAUAGUUUGUUGUCGUCUUUAAAGGUUUGAAAAUUGCAGGACUAUGGCGUCGUUUGGUCGUUUUAUUUGCUCAAAAGAACAGCUUUGAAGACCUUGUAAGGGGUUGUGGUUGUUCCUGGUAUGUUAUAUAUUUAAUCCUGGUCUUACUUUAACAGAAUGACAGUUCUGAUAUAAAGACAAGUGACUGGAUAGCUAGCCUAUUAGCUGGCUAGCUUGCUAACUAGUUUGCUAGUUCGGUCGGUCUGUUACACCAUUUCCACACGCCACAACACGCCCACUUAAAGCGAAGCGAGGGUUUUGCUUCGCUGGCAUGCGUCAGUGCCGUUAAGCUCAGAGAUCCGCCACUUUGAGGUCAUAUCAUAUAUGGGCCAGAUUCAGUCUACAGGAUUCUCAGAUUCAUGGAAAACCUAGAAAAGCCAUGGAAUUUUUAAAUCCCAUUUUCCAGAAUGGGAAAUGUCAAGAAAUUCAGAAAAAUUCCAAGUUUUGGAAAAACAAUUUUGUUUGGUUGUAUGCAAGUCUAAUGACUAAUUAAUUAUGUUGUUGUCCUCUUCCACGUGUUGUGUGAAUAUCCGCAGCGUGUUUCCACUUUAGUUGACAGAGCCUCAUAGAAAAGGCAAAGAACAAGGACAAAAGGUUGUUUGAUUUGUAUUCAGUAAUUAGGCCCAAUAUGUGUGCUGUAAAACACCGAUUUGUGUACUUGGAAUUUGUGAAAGAUCAUGGAGAUUUCAUUAAACGUCCUUAAAAAGUCAAGUUUUGAAAUGUCAUUGAAAAUGGGCUCAAUCUGCUCAAGAUCCAUUCCAGUCAUCUGCUGUGGGAGAAAUCUCUUCACACACGUGUACCAGAAUCCUUCAGCCAUAGCAGGUCUAGUCAUCAAUAGAGACCAACAGCUCUAGUCAUCAAUAGAGACCAACAGGUCUAGUCAUCAAUAGAGACCAACAGCUCUAGUCAUCAAUAGAGACCAACAGCUCUAGUCAUCAAUAGAGACCAACAGCUCUAGUCAUCAAUAGAGACCAACAGGUCUAGUCAUCAAUAGAGACCAACAGCUCUAGUCAUCAAUAGAGACCAACAGCUCUAGUCCUCAAUAGAGACCAACAGCUCUAGUCCUCAAUAGAGACCAACAGCUCUAGUCAUCAAUAGAGACCAACAGCUCUAGUCCUCAAUAGAGACCAACAGUACUAGUCUUCAACCCUAGCAGGUCUAGUCCUCAAUAGAGACCAACACCACGUCUGAGGAAGGCAAGGAGACCAGUAACUAAACUACACUGUAUGUAACACUGGUAGAUAUUCAUAGAAGUCAUGGCCAGGCCUAAACACAUCUCAAAGUCCAGGAAAGAGCUGAGUUGCCAAUAAGGGAUCAGAUAAAUGCAAGAUUUUCAGAUAUAAAAUGUCCUUCACACCUUCUAACGACAUUUACAGAGAUGACCGAAGAUGUGCUAUUCAGUGUGUGUGUGUGUGUGUGUGUGUGUGUGUGUGUGUGUGUGUGUGUGUGUGAAACAGGGAGAGAGACAUUUUGACAUUUAAAACCCCUUUAUUGAACCACAUGUGUCACUGACUCCUAAAAAGACUACUAUGUAUGCAGUACCCCACCUA
Molecule: long non-coding RNA, 2375 nt
Organism: Clupea harengus (Atlantic herring)
Lineage: Eukaryota; Metazoa; Chordata; Actinopteri; Clupeiformes; Clupeidae
Source: Ensembl